UCGAACGAGAAAGCUCUCUUCGGAGAGUGAGUACAGUGGCGAACGGGUGAGUAUUCGUAGAUGACCUGCCCUGAAGAGGGGGACAACCGUGGGAAACGACGGCUAAUACCCCAGAUGUUUGAGAGGUUAGAGGUCUCAAACUAAAACUUCGGUGCUUCGGGAGGGGUCUAUGUGCUAUCAGCUAGUUGGUGGGGUAAAGGCCUACCAAGGCAAAGACGGCUAGGGGGCGUGAGAGCGCGACCCCCCACAAUGGGACUGAGACACGGCCCAUACUCCUACGGGAGGCAGCAGUGAGGAAUAUUGCACAAUGGGGGAAACCCUGAUGCAGCAACGCCGCGUGGACGAUGAAGGCUUUCGGGUCGUAAAGUCCUUUUCUGGGGGAAGAUAAUGACGGUACCUCAGGAAUAAGUCCCGGCUAACUACGUGCCAGCAGCCGCGGUAAAACGUAGGGGGCGAGCGUUAUCCGGAUUCAUUGGGCGUAAAGCGCGCGUAGGCGGCUUGAUAAGUUGUGCGUGAAAGCUCCCGGCUCAACUGGGAGAGGCCGUGCAAAACUGUCAGGCUAGAGGAUAGAAGAGGAGAGUAGAAUUCCCGGUGUAGUGGUGGAAUGCGUAGAUAUCGGGAGGAAUACCAGUGGCGAAGGCGGCUCUCUGGUCUAUACCUGACGCUGAGGUGCGAAAGCGUGGGGAGCGAACGGGAUUAGAUACCCCGGUAGUCCACGCUGUAAACGAUGGAUACUAUGUGUAGGGAUGAAAAAUUUUCUGUGCCGAAGCCAACGCGAUAAGUAUCCCGCCUGGGGAGUACGGCCGCAAGGUUAAACUCAAAGGAAUUGACGGGGGCCGCACAGCAGCGGAGCGUGUGGUUU
RNAcentral lists this ribosomal RNA (862 nucleotides) under uncultured bacterium. RNAcentral describes it as "bacterial SSU rRNA". It matches the Rfam family "Bacterial small subunit ribosomal RNA", at positions 62 to 947 of the family's 1533-position model. The record is from RNAcentral.